This is a non-coding RNA of Nycticebus coucang (slow loris), 804 nucleotides long. The record is from the annotation of a RefSeq genome assembly. Lineage: Eukaryota; Metazoa; Chordata; Mammalia; Primates; Lorisidae.
ACCAGCCCAGCCCUGACCCUGCAGCUCUGGGAGAGGAGCCCCAGUCCCGGGACUCCCAGGUCUGCCCACUCGCUGCUCAGGACUGAACACAGACGACGCACCAUGGAGUCUGGGCUGAGCUGGCUUCUCCUGGUUGCUCUGUUACAAGGUGUCCAGUGUGAGAUGAAGCUGGUGGAGUCUGGGGGAGGCUUGGUCAGGCCUGGGGGCUCCCUCGAACUCUCCUGCGCAGCCUCUGGAUUCACAUUCAGCAGCUUCGGGAUGCACUGGGUUCGCCAGGCUGAAGGCAAGGGACUGGAAUGGGUCUCAGCAAUCAGUGGUAAUGGUGGUAGCACAUACUACCCAGACUCUGUGAAGGGCCGAUUCACCAUCUCCAGAGACAACGGCAAGAACACUCUGAGUCUGCGAAUGAACAGCCUGAGACCCGAGGAUACCGCGGUGUAUUUCUGCGCAAAGGACAGACACAGUGAGGGGAAGGAAGUGGGAGCCCAUACACAAACCUCCUGCGGAGUGUGGCCGCUAGGGGGCGCCCGGGACACAGGCGAGGAGUCACCCAGGGCAGGUGCUGGGGGUGGGGGACGGGGGCUCAGCCCUGGUGUCUGCUCUGGGUGGUGGUUUCCUCUCUAUGUAACAGUUUCCUCUGGGGAAUAUCUCUGGAUUUCUGAUUCUGUGUUUUGUUCCGACAUUUCUGAAUUGGAUGUAUUUGAGCAAAUAACCAAAAACCUCCCUGCACAAAAGAGAGAGAGGAGCUUCCCGUCACUUUAUAUUGUCCCCAAAUGGACGUUAAUUGUGAACACUUUGGACUAA